UACGUAGGAUGCAAGCGUUGUCCGGAUUUAUUGGGUUUAAAGGGUGCGUAGGUGGCUGAUUAAGUCAUGGGUGAAAGCCCGCAGCUCAACUGUGGAAUUGCCUGUGAUACUGAUUAGCUUGAGUGCGGUUGAGGCAGCUGGAAGUGGUGGUGUAGCGGUGAAAUGCAUAGAUACCACCAGGAACACCGAUUGCGAAGGCAGGUUGCUAAGCCGUAACUGACACUGAGGCACGAAAGCGUGGGGAGCAAACAGG
This 253-nucleotide ribosomal RNA is filed under the name uncultured bacterium. RNAcentral describes it as "partial 16S ribosomal RNA". It matches the Rfam family "Bacterial small subunit ribosomal RNA", at positions 524 to 776 of the family's 1533-position model. The record is from RNAcentral.